GCCAUUGAUCUGAUCCAUCCAUAUAAUAUGAUUAUUGUAGCUGUUCAGUUAUUGUUCAUACUAUUAAGGGACCGGUCAUAAAGUAAUUACUAGAGGGGGGUGGAGGAUAAAUGAAAUUUCAAGUACAUAUUUCCAUGCCCUCCCAAAAACCUAUGGAAAAAUUUUCGUAACCCCCUUCAUUGUAAGUGAAAAUUUUCAUAACACUUCUAUCAUUAAUUCUGUUUUAACAUUUGUCUUGCGUUUAUCUAUAUUUUGAAACUCUCCAGUAUGUGAUAACUCUCCCACUUCUUGUAGUGAUAACCCUCCCACUUCUUGUAGUGGUACUCAUAUCCUCAACAUUUUCCGCAGUCUCCGAUUCGUCACCAGUCUUUUCUGAUUCUGACAUACUAGCGAUGGGCUGAGAGUAAGAUCAAACAGAAAAAAUUGUUUUUGGUUUAUUUCAAAUAGAAAAAUUUGCUUCCAUUCAUGAGACACUUCCUCAUCAGGUUCAUCAAGUUCUAACAGCUGUGAGCUUGCUAGCAUUGACAAUUCAGGUGUAUCAGAUCUGUACUCCAAACGU
Molecule: non-coding RNA, 559 nt
Organism: Paramuricea clavata
Lineage: Eukaryota; Metazoa; Cnidaria; Anthozoa; Malacalcyonacea; Plexauridae
Source: the annotation of a GenBank genome assembly